CAGUAGCCGCGGUAAUACGUAGGGUGCAAGCGUUAAUCGGAAUUACUGGGCGUAAAGCGUGCGCAGGCGGUUUGUUAAGACAGAUGUGAAAUCCCCGGGCUCAACCUGGGAACUGCAUUUGUGACUGGCAGGCUAGAGUAUGGCAGAGGGGGGUGGAAUUCCGCGUGUAGCAGUGAAAUGCGUAGAUAUGCGGAGGAACACCGAUGGCGAAGGCAGCCCCCUGGGCCAAUACUGACGCUCAUGCACGAAAGCGUGGGGAGCAAACAGGAUUAGAUACCCCAGUAGUCCCUGUCUCUUAUAC
This 301-nucleotide ribosomal RNA is filed under the name uncultured bacterium. RNAcentral's name for it is "partial 16S ribosomal RNA". It matches the Rfam family "Bacterial small subunit ribosomal RNA", at positions 509 to 807 of the family's 1533-position model. The record is from RNAcentral.